GUGCAUGCUGCUGCGGUGGAAAGCAGGGCAGGACCACCUGGGGGAAGGAACCCAGUGGGGUCUGUGCGUACAGACAGGGGAGGAGAUAAUCCCUGUGGAGACAGGAGCCAGGAGCCUCUAGGGCGGUACAAGCCCCUUCCCCUCCAUGGCGAGAAGAGUGGGUUUGCACGUCCCACCCAGGUCUUUAAGGGAGGGUGACACCAGCUUCCACGGAGCCCAUGGAUGGCUCUCCUAGAUUUGCACCUGUCGCUCUUCCCACCUUUCCACACGAGGCAGGCUGGCUCAGGGCCAAGAGGCUUCUCUCACAAGCCAGGAACGUGAGAGGCCAGAGGACACAAGAAUAUCUGGGCACAGAAUACAUUUAGCGCCUUCUCUAGCCUCUACUUCCUGAGGGUAUGAAGAGGAGAACUGGGCUGUUUCAUCUUUGUGUCUCCGAAUGAAUUAUGCAUCUGGCAACCUUUCUAUUUUAACUGUCCCGUUUCGAUUGCCCAAUGGGGGAAAAACGU
Microcebus murinus (gray mouse lemur) is the source of this 506-nucleotide non-coding RNA. The record is from RefSeq and is a predicted model, not a curated record. NCBI's taxonomy places the organism in Eukaryota, Metazoa, Chordata, Mammalia, Primates, Cheirogaleidae.